This 467-nucleotide ribosomal RNA is filed under the name uncultured bacterium. Its description in RNAcentral is "partial 16S ribosomal RNA". It matches the Rfam family "Bacterial small subunit ribosomal RNA", at positions 28 to 506 of the family's 1533-position model. The record is from RNAcentral.
GACGAACGCUGGCGGCGUGCUUAACACAUGCAAGUCGAACGGAAAGGCGCUGCUUUUGUGGGGUGCCCGAGUGGCGAACGGGGGAGUAACAAGUGAGUAACCUGCCCUUGACGGGGGGACAACUUCAGGAAACUGGGGCCAAUACCGGAUAGGAGCUCCUGCUGCAUGGUGGGGGAUGGAAAGAGUCGGCGGUUGGGGGUGGGCUGGCGGCUUAUCAGCUUGUUGGGGGGGUUGUGGCCUACCCAGGCGAUGGCGGGUAGCCGGCCUGGGGGGGUGGCCGGCCCCAUUGGGGCUUGGGUACGGCCCCUACCCCUUCCGGGGGGAGGAGGUGGGAAUUUUGCGCAAUGGGCGGCAGCCUGGUGCAGCAACGCCGCGUGCGGCAUAGCGGCCUUCGGGUUGUAAACCGCUUUCGCCUGUGGCGAAGCGUGGGUGCCGGUCCUGCAGAAGGAGGCACCGGCAAAUUCGGU